RNAcentral lists this ribosomal RNA (411 nucleotides) under uncultured bacterium. Its description in RNAcentral is "bacterial SSU rRNA". It matches the Rfam family "Bacterial small subunit ribosomal RNA", at positions 355 to 762 of the family's 1533-position model. The record is from RNAcentral.
CAACGAAUAUUCCGCAAUGGGCGCAAGCCUGACGGAGCGACGCCGCGUGAAGGAUGAAGUCCCUCGGGAUGUAAACUUCAAUAGUUUGUCAGGAAGUAAGGCGACCUAAUACGUCGCCGAGUUGACCAGCAAACGAAAGGGACGGCUAACUCCGUGCCAGCAGCCGCGGUAAGACGGAGGUCCCGAGCGUUGUUCGGAUUCACUGGGCGUAAAGGGUGCGUAGGUGGUGAGGCAAGUCGGAUGUGAAAGCUCGGAGCUCAACUCCGAAAUGGCAUUGGAAACGGCCUUGCUGGAGGGUCGGAGGAGGGACUGGAAUUCUCGGUGUAGCAGUGAAAUGCGUAGAUAUGUCAUAGAACACCGAUUGCGAAGGCAGCUAACGAAACUAUAACGGACGCUGAGGCACGAAAGUGC